UGGGCAACCUGCCCUCAGCUCUGGGAUAACUCCGGGAAACCGGGGCUAAUACCGGAUAUGACCACUCCUGGCAUCUGGGGUGGUGGAAAGUUCUUCGGCUGAGGAUGGGCCCGCGGCCUAUCAGCUUGUUGGUGGGGUUACGGCCCACCAAGGCGACGACGGGUAGCCGGCCUGAGAGGGCGACCGGCCACACUGGGACUGAGAUACGGCCCAGACUCCUACGGGAGGCA
RNAcentral lists this ribosomal RNA (230 nucleotides) under uncultured bacterium. RNAcentral's name for it is "partial 16S ribosomal RNA". It matches the Rfam family "Bacterial small subunit ribosomal RNA", at positions 118 to 350 of the family's 1533-position model. The record is from RNAcentral.